GGGAGAAGAGUCUGUCAAGAUAGCCAUAGAUGACUGCCUAACAUGUCAACCAAACAAGGAUUUCAGCUUACCUUGUUAGUAGUAUAUAUAUGUAGGCAAGUCAUCCUUGGCUACUAAACAAAGGCUCUUCCCU
Molecule: microRNA precursor, 133 nt
Organism: Nicotiana attenuata
Lineage: Eukaryota; Viridiplantae; Streptophyta; Magnoliopsida; Solanales; Solanaceae
Source: Rfam